Molecule: ribosomal RNA, 484 nt
Filed under: uncultured bacterium
Lineage: Bacteria
Description: partial 16S ribosomal RNA
Rfam family: Bacterial small subunit ribosomal RNA
Source: RNAcentral
AUUGAACGCUGGCGGCAGGCCUAACACAUGCAAGUCGAGCGGAUGAAGGGAGCUUGCUCCUGGAUUCAGCGGCGGACGGGUGAGUAAUGCCUAGGAAUCUGCCUGGUCGUGGGGGAUAACGUCCGGAAACGGGCGCUAAUACCGCAUACGUCCUGAGGGAGAAAGUGGGGGAUCUUCGGACCUCACGCUAUCAGAUGAGCCUAGGUCGGAUUAGCUAGUUGGUGGGGUAAAGGCCUACCAAGGCGACGAUUCGUAACUGGUCUGAGAGGAUGAUCAGUCACACUGGAACUGAGACACGGUCCAGACUCCUACGGGAGGCAGCAGUGGGGAAUAUUGGACAAAGGGCGAAAGCCUGAUCCAGCCAUGCCGCGUGUGUGAAGAAGGUCUUCGGAUUGUAAAGCACUUUAAGUUGGGAGGAAGGGCAGUAAGUUAAUACCUUGCUGUUUUGACGUUACCAACAGAAUAAGCACCGGCUAACUUCGUG